This 250-nucleotide unclassified non-coding RNA is filed under the name Oryza sativa (Asian cultivated rice). The record is from RNAcentral. Lineage: Eukaryota; Viridiplantae; Streptophyta; Magnoliopsida; Poales; Poaceae.
GAAAAUAUGUAGUGCAAAUCACAUAUAUAGUGGAAACUUGAAAACUACCGUUGAAUCGAGAAAUGGACGUCCGAGAUUCGUCCACGUCAUCAUGAGUUAAAAUUUAACUCGCAGAUUCACUCAUGAGUUAAAAUUUUACUCGGAGUUAAAUUUUAACUCAUGAUGACGUAAACGAAUCUCGGACGUCCAUUUCUCGAUCCAAUGGUAGUUUUCAAGUUUUCACUACAUAUGUGGUUUGUACUGUAUAUUU